RNAcentral lists this ribosomal RNA (731 nucleotides) under uncultured bacterium. RNAcentral's name for it is "bacterial SSU rRNA". It matches the Rfam family "Bacterial small subunit ribosomal RNA", at positions 771 to 1501 of the family's 1533-position model. The record is from RNAcentral.
AACAGGAUUAGAUACCCUGGUAGUCCAUGCCGUAAACGAUGAGUGCUAGGUGUUGGAGGGUUUCCGCCCUUCAGUGCCGGAGCUAACGCAUUAAGCACUCCGCCUGGGGAGUACGACCGCAAGGUUGAAACUCAAGGGAAUUGACGGGGGCCCGCACAAGCGGUGGAGCAUGUGGUUUAAUUCGAAGCUACGCGAAGAACCUUACCAGGUCUUGACAUCUUGCGCCAACCCUAGAGAUAGGGCGUUUCCUUCGGGAACGCAAAGACAGGUGGUGCAUGGUCGUCGUCAGCUCGUGUCGUGAGAUGUUGGGUUAAGUCCCGCAACGAGCGCAACCCUUGUUACUAGUUGCCAGCAUUAAGUUGGGCACUCUAGUGAGACUGCCGGUGACAAACCGGAGGAAGGUGGGGACGACGUCAGAUCAUCAUGCCCCUUAUGACCUGGGCUACACACGUGCUACAAUGGACGGCACAACGAGUCGCGAACUCGCGAGGGCAAGCAAAUCUCUUAAAACCGUUCUCAGUUCGGACUGCAGGCUGCAACUCGCCUGCACGAAGUCGGAAUCGCUAGUAAUCGCGGAUCAGCAUGCCGCGGUGAAUACGUUCCCGGGCCUUGUACGCACCGCCCAUCACACCAUGAGAGUUUGUAACACCCAAAGUCGGUGGGGUAACCUUUUAGGAGUCAGCCGCCUAAGGUGGGACAGAUGAUUAGGGUGAAGUCGUAACAAGGUAACC